Molecule: long non-coding RNA, 486 nt
Filed under: Gallus gallus (chicken)
Lineage: Eukaryota; Metazoa; Chordata; Aves; Galliformes; Phasianidae
Description: long non-coding RNA NONGGAT007939
Source: RNAcentral
CUCCAACCCCCCUGCAGUGGGCUGUGUCCAGGGCCCCAUCCACAGCCAUGGGCACUUCCAGGAAUGGGGCACACAGAACAAAGCGUUCUGAGUAGACAAGGUUCCAACCAAAGCACUGCAGCUGAAACGUAUACAGAAUUACUGCUGCUCUAACCUAAUAGCACACAAAGCGCUUAGCAGCCACAUGCAGAAGACAUCUUCCAUGUGGGAUCACAGCUCUGGGAUCAAGCAACAUGGAGUGCUUCUGGACAGCCCCGUGCAAGAUUUAUCACCUGCAAAGCUGUGACCCCACACUGCUCCACUCUGUGCCACCAGCAGGCAGUGAAGUCCCUCACCCAUUCACCAGCACAACAGAGAAAGCAACAUGAGCUGAUAGGAAUCCUAUUUCUAAGGGCCAGAGAGCUGAGAACCAGCGUAACUCCUGUGUAUUCAGUGCUGUGAUACAUUCAGCUAUUGCUCAAUAAUUGUUGCCAUUCAAUGUUUAAC